Molecule: ribosomal RNA, 450 nt
Filed under: uncultured bacterium
Lineage: Bacteria
Description: partial 16S ribosomal RNA
Rfam family: Bacterial small subunit ribosomal RNA
Source: RNAcentral
GUGGGGAAUUUUGGACAAUGGGCGCAAGCCUGAUCCAGCAAUGCCGCGUGCAGGAAGAAGGCCUUCGGGUUGUAAACUGCUUUUGUACGGAACGAAACGGUCCGGGUUAAUACCCUGGGCUAAUGACGGUACCGUAAGAAUAAGCACCGGCUAACUACGUGCCAGCAGCCGCGGUAAUACGUAGGGUGCAAGCGUUAAUCGGAAUUACUGGGCGUAAAGCGUGCGCAGGCGGUUUUGUAAGACAGGAGUGAAAUCCCCGGGCUCAACCUGGGAAUUGCGCUUGUGACUGCAAGGCUGGAGUGCGGCAGAGGGGGAUGGAAUUCCGCGUGUAGCAGUGAAAUGCGUAGAUAUGCGGAGGAACACCGAUGGCGAAGGCAAUCCCCUGGGCCUGCACUGACGCUCAUGCACGAAAGCGUGGGGAGCAAACAGGAUUAGAAACCCCGGUAGUCC